GAUACAACCAACAGCAAAUGGACUCGGUCUCCUGGACUUAACCGCCUGAAGUUUCUGCCAGAUUCACCCACCAGAAAUAAUUUUCUAUUUGAAAUGAAUGUCAGCAAUUCUCUAUUGAAGCUAACACCGGUGACCUGCAAAUGGGGAACAAAGUUUGCCAUACUGAUACGCCAAAUCUUUCAUGACGUCAAUAAGGCAACAUCCACACUGUUUGGUUAAAAGACCGUCUUCCAGGACCCUGGUUGUGCAGAGGAAGCUGUGGUUUUCCUAGUGAAGUGACUGUGCUUGUGUCAGCCAGCCUCUCCACGGAGGGUCCGAAGCUGCUGAGCAGAGGGCUCUCCGGACAGACAGCAGUGAAACGCUAGCAGGUGCAGCCUCACCAGCAGAUGAGAUUCCUUUUGCCUGGAAAUCUCUCUCCCCAAAGAGGCCACAACUGCCACCUUCUCCUCAUUCAAACCUGAGAUCAAGGGGCACCUUCUCCCAGAAGCCGCCAGUGGUGCAUCCUGGUACUCUUGCAUUUGCUUUUUAGCAUGUAACACUCUUUGUUAAGAAGCCUAG
Long non-coding RNA from Molossus molossus (Pallas's mastiff bat), 558 nucleotides. RefSeq lists it as uncharacterized. The transcript is spliced from 3 exons. NCBI's taxonomy places the organism in Eukaryota, Metazoa, Chordata, Mammalia, Chiroptera, Molossidae. The record is from RefSeq and is a predicted model, not a curated record.